This 245-nucleotide long non-coding RNA is filed under the name Ananas comosus (pineapple). RNAcentral describes it as "long non-coding RNA (ACOM_LNC041162)". Lineage: Eukaryota; Viridiplantae; Streptophyta; Magnoliopsida; Poales; Bromeliaceae. The record is from RNAcentral.
UUUCGGUCGUUUGAAUUUGGGUUGUUUAGUUUAACGACGUUUCGGUCGUUUGGAUUUAGUUGUUUAGUUUAACGACUUUACGGUCGGUUAGAUUUGAGAGGUUUUGGAUUUCGGGAUUUUAUUUGUGGACUUUAGGUUUUGGGUUCUAUUUGUGGACUUUAGGUUCUGGGAUCUUAUUUGUAGACUUUGGGUUUUGUGUUUUAUUUGUGGACUUUGGGUUUUACUUAUAGUCCGAAAUGGAUUGG